UUAAGUAAGUAAGGGCGUACGGCGGAUGCCUUGGCCAUAUCAGCCGAAGAAGGACGCGAUAAGCUGCGAUAAGCUGCGGUGAGGUGCAAGUAACCAGUGACCCGCAGAUUUCCGAAUGGGGAAACCCGGCAGUAGUAGUACUGUCACCUCUCUUUGAGAGGAGGGCACCCGGUGAACUGAAACAUCUAAGUAGCCGGAGGAAGAGGAAUCAAAAGAGAUGCCCCCAGUAGCGGCGAGCGAAGCGGGCAAAGCCCAAACCGGAGCGGGAAACCGCACCGGGGUUGAGGACUACCAACAAGUACCCGGAUGAAGUCGAAUCAGGUGGGAACCUGAGCCAGAGACGGUGAGAGCCCGGUAGACGUAAAGAAGGGUAUGGGGUAGUAUCCAGAGUACCACGGGGCACGAGGAACCUUGUGGGAAGCAGGGGGGACCACCCUCCAAGGCGAAAUACUGAUAUGGACCGAUAGCGCAUAGUACCGUGAGGGAAAGGUGAAAAGAACCCCGGGAGGGGAAUGAAAGAGAACCUGAAACCGUAUGUCUACAAGCAGUCGAAGCACCGUAUGCGUGCGACGGCGUGCCUAUUGAAGAAUGAACCGGCGAGUUAUUUCAUCCGGCGAGGUUAAGCGGAAAACGCGGAGCCGAAGCGAAAGCGAGUCUGAACAGGGCGAUAAGUCGGAUGGAAUAGACCCGAAACCACAGUGAUCUAUCCAUGCCCAGGUUGAAGCACAGGUAAAAAUGUGUGGAGGACCGAACCAGUGAGCGUUGAAAAGCUUUUGGAUGAGGUGUGGAUAGGGGUGAAAUGCCAAUCGAACGUGGAGAUAGCUGGUUCUCCCCGAAAUAGCUUUAGGGCUAGCCUCAUGGCAAGAGUGCAGGCGGUAGAGCACUGAACAGGGUAGGGGCCUAUCCGGCUACCGAACCUAAUCAAACUACGAAUGGCUGUACUUAUCCAUGGGAGUCAGACUGCGAGUGAUAAGACCCGUAGUCAAGAGGGAAACAGCCCAGACCAACAGCUAAGGUCCCCAAUGCCGUACUAAGUGGUAAAGGAUGUGGAGUUUCGAAAACAACCAGGAUGUUGGCUUAGAAGCAGCCACCAUUAAAAGAGUGCGUAAUAGCUCACUGGUCGAGAGACUCUGCGCCGAAGAUGACCGGGGCUAAAGUACGGAACCGAAGCUUUGGCAUGUAUGUAAAUACAUGGGUAGGGGAGCGUUCCUGCAUGGGCGAAGCCUGACCGGAAGGACAGGUGGACAGGCAGGAAGUGAGAAUGCCGGUAUGAGUAGCGAAAAGAAAGGUGAGAAUCCUUUCCACCGAAAGCCUAAGGGUUCCUGGGCAACGAUCGUCGACCCAGGGUAAGUCGGGACCUAAUCCGAGGCGAAGACGCAUAGGAGAUGGACAACAGGUUGAAAUUCCUGUACCGACGUCGUCUGUUUGAGCGAUGGAGUGACACAAGAAGGAAAGUUCGCAUGCGAUUGGAAGAGCAUGUCUAAGCAGGUAGGUUGAAUACCAGGCAAAUCCGGUAUUCUAAAAGCCGAGAAGUGAUAGGGAGCCUGUAGAAAUACAGGUGAAGGAACCGGGACUCGAUUGUCAAGAAAAGCUUCUAGUGAGGACGACGCCGCCCGUACCAAAACCGACACAGGUAGGCAAGAAGAGAAUUCUAAGGUGCGCGGGAAAACCCUCGUUAAGGAACUCGGCAAAAUGUAUCCGUAACUUCGGGAAAAGGAUAACCCAGAGUACGUGAAGGAAAGAAACAUCCGGAGCGGGAAUGGGUGGCACAAGAGAGGCCCAAGCGACUGUUUACCACAAACACAGGCGUCUGCUAAAGAGAAAUCUGAUGUAUAGAUGCUGACACCUGCCCGGUGCUGGAAGGUUAAGAGGACGUGUUAGCCGCAAGGCGAAGCAGAGAAUUGAAGCCCCAGUAAACGGCGGCCGUAACUAUAACGGUCCUAAGGUAGCGAAAUUCCUUGUCGGGUAAGUUCCGACCCGCACGAAAGGUGUAACGA
This 1997-nucleotide ribosomal RNA is filed under the name human oral metagenome. RNAcentral describes it as "bacterial LSU rRNA". It matches the Rfam family "Bacterial large subunit ribosomal RNA", at positions 3 to 2007 of the family's 2925-position model. The record is from RNAcentral.